AACGAAACGCUGGCGGCAUGCCUAAACACAUGCAAGUCGAAACGAGACCUUCGGGUCUAGUGGCGCACGGGUGCGUAACGCGUGGGAAUCUGCCCUUAGGUACGGAAAUAAACUCAGGGAAACUUGUGCUAAUACCGUAUGAUGUCGAGAGACCAAAGAUUUAUCGCCUAGGGAUGAGCCCGCGUAGGAUUAGCUAGUUGGUGGGGUAAAGGCCUACCAAGGCUACGAUCCUUAGCUGGUCUGAGAGGAUGAUCAGCCACACUGGGACUGAGACACGGCCCAGACUCCUACGGGAGGCAGCAGUGGGGAAUAUUGGACGAUGGGCGAAAGCCUGAUCCAGC
RNAcentral lists this ribosomal RNA (341 nucleotides) under uncultured bacterium. RNAcentral describes it as "bacterial SSU rRNA". It matches the Rfam family "Bacterial small subunit ribosomal RNA", at positions 32 to 392 of the family's 1533-position model. The record is from RNAcentral.